UUGGUCAUUUAGAGGAAGUAAAAGUCGUAACAAGGUCUCCGUUGGUGAACCAGCGGAGGGAUCAUUACUGAGUACUACACUCUCUACCCUUUGUGAACUAUCAUACCUGUUGCUUCGGCGGCGCCCGCGAGGGUGCCCGCCGGUCUCAUCAGAAUCUCUGUUUUCGAACCCGACGAUACUUCUGAGUGUUCUUAGCGAACUGUCAAAACUUUUAACAACGGAUCUCUUGGCUCCAGCAUCGAUGAAGAACGCAGCGAAACGCGAUAUGUAAUGUGAAUUGCAGAAUUCAGUGAAUCAUCGAAUCUUUGAACGCACAUGGCGCCUUCCAGUAUCCUGGGAGGCAUGCCUGUCCGAGCGUCGUUUCAACCCUCGAGCCCCCGUGGCCCGGCGUUGGAGAUCUGCCACGGCAGUCUCCCAAAAUCAGUGGCGGACCCGAAGGCCCUCUCCUUUGCGCAGUAGCAUCAGCCUCGCAUUGGGAUCCCUCGGCGUCCUGCCUCUAAACCCCCCACAAGCCCGCUCCGGCGGCACCAAGGUUGACCUCGGAUCAGGUAGGAAUACCCGCUGAACUUAAGCAUAUCAAUAAGCGGAGGAACCC
This 595-nucleotide ribosomal RNA is filed under the name Plectosphaerella cucumerina. Its description in RNAcentral is "eukaryotic LSU rRNA". The stretch from base 207 to 360 matches the Rfam family "5.8S ribosomal RNA". Lineage: Eukaryota; Fungi; Ascomycota; Sordariomycetes; Glomerellales; Plectosphaerellaceae. The record is from RNAcentral.